GAUGAAGAACGUAGUGAAAUGCGAUACUUGGUGUGAAUUGCAGAAUCCCGUGAACCAUCGAGUCUUUGAACGCAAGUUGCGCCCGAGGCCUCCUGGUCGAGGGCACGUCUGCCUGGGUGUCACGCAUCGUCGCCCCCGCUCCCCUCGGCUCACGAGGGCGGGGGCGGAUACUGGUCUCCCGCGCGCUCCCGCUCGCGGCUGGCCCAAAAUCGAGUCCCCGGCGACGGUCGCCACGACGAGCGGUGGUUGAGAGACCCUCGGACACUGUCGUGCGCGCGCCCGUCGCCCCCGGGAUCUCCUGGACCCUCGGGCAUCGACCUUUCUAGGAUGCUCUCGUUGCGACCCCAGGUCAGGCGGGACUACCCGCUGAGUUUAAGCAUAUCAAUAAGCGGAGGA
Molecule: unclassified non-coding RNA, 396 nt
Filed under: soil metagenome
Description: partial contains 5.8S ribosomal RNA, internal transcribed spacer 2, and large subunit ribosomal RNA
Rfam family: 5.8S ribosomal RNA (bases 1-122)
Source: RNAcentral